UGGCUCAGAUGGUAAAAGUAUCUGCCUACAAUGCAGGAGACCCGGGUUCGAUCCCUGG
Molecule: transfer RNA, 58 nt
Filed under: Bos taurus (domestic cattle)
Lineage: Eukaryota; Metazoa; Chordata; Mammalia; Artiodactyla; Bovidae
Also listed under: 2 other names
Source: Rfam by way of RNAcentral